CACGUAGUUGGCCGGCGCUUCUUCUGCAGGUACCGUCACUUGCGCUUCGUCCCUGCUGAAAGAGGUUUACAACCCGAAGGCCGUCAUCCCUCACGCGGCGUCGCUGCAUCAGGCUUCCGCCCAUUGUGCAAUAUUCCCCACUGCUGCCUCCCGUAGGAGUCUGGGCCGUGUCUCAGUCCCAGUGUGGCCGGUCGCCCUCUCAGGCCGGCUACCCGUCGUCGCCUUGGUAGGCCAUUACCCCACCAACAAGCUGAUAGGCCGCGAGCCCAUCCCAAGCCGAAAAACUUUCCACCCACAAACAUGCGCCCGUGAGUGAAUAUUCGGUAUUAGCCCCCGUUUCCGAGGGUUAUCCCAAAGCCUAGGGCAGGUUGCUCACGUGUUACUCACCCGUUCGCCGCUCGAGUACCCCGAAGGGCCUUUCCGCUCGACUUGCAUGUGUUAAGCACGCCGCCAGCGUUCGUCCUGAGCCAGGAUCAAACUCU
This 482-nucleotide ribosomal RNA is filed under the name uncultured Micromonosporaceae bacterium. Its description in RNAcentral is "partial 16S ribosomal RNA". Lineage: Bacteria; Bacillati; Actinomycetota; Actinomycetes; Micromonosporales; Micromonosporaceae. The record is from RNAcentral.